AAUUUUUAAAAUUUCUCUUGAGUUUGAGGGUUGUAUCUAUCUUCUUUGCAGCUGUCAACCAUGCAUUGCUGUUGUACUCAGGCAAUGUUCAGGAAAUAUUUGUGGUCCUCAAGGUUAUUGUUCAUUGUUCUGAUGUGGUCCUGUGAGAACCUACCUCAGCCCCUGACACUUGGUCACUUAGACAAAUUCAAACUACUUUCAAGACAGGAUCUAAAACAUCGACCUCAAAUCCUACAGAAAAUUCCUAGAGACAGCAUCCUUCCUGCCCAGGUCACUGCUGUCCCCAGGCUUGGCACAUAGUUGAUAAUCUACAUGUAUUUGUUAAAGAACUAACUGAAGAACCACAAUCUGCAACUGAUUACACCCAGAGCCUGGGGGCUGGUCCUUAUGUUGGAAAGCUUUGGACUUCCCUCUGUUAAGAGGAAGAAAAUCUCACUCAUCCUUAGCCUGUGCAUGGUGAAGAUGAAGACACAGCACUAUAGUUGGUUUGGCCUAAUGCUGCUUGUAUUCUAAGGCUAAAGCAUCUACAUGGAAGACACUGAGGGACCCUGCCCUCACUUGGUUCUGAUUAGUAAGUAAAGAUACAGGCAGCCAAUGGCUGUGUGGGGCAGUCAGAGGCUAGACUUGAGGACUCAAGGGCUUGGGAAUGAGAGGGAGAAGGAGAUCCACCAUGCUGGGAGAGUGUAGAGGAGAAGAGAUGCCUUGCCUGAGAAGAGUGGAGGACAGGGAGGCAUAGCAGCCAUGUGAAGGAGCCAGGAGAGGGCCCACCAGAGGGCUGCCCAACUGGGUCCAGGGCAGCCAAGGUAGAAUACAAAAUUUAGUAAGUGAUAACUCAGGAUUAUCAGUGGGAGGUGGAUAACUGCAUGGAGGUUAGACAGUGGCCCAGCUCUUGUGAUGAUUAAGGCAUGUUAAAAUAUAAUAAAACACAUGGAGGGACCCAUGGCUACAGCUGCAUAUGUAGCAGAGAAUGACCUUAUCUGGCAUCAAUGGGAGGGG
Molecule: long non-coding RNA, 996 nt
Filed under: Mus musculus (house mouse)
Lineage: Eukaryota; Metazoa; Chordata; Mammalia; Rodentia; Muridae
Description: long non-coding RNA chr3:28689677-28690673
Source: RNAcentral